AGGAUCAGCUAAAGUCAAGCUUGAGGGGGAAUGUUAACUUGAAGAAAGGAAUGGAGGAGCUAGAGGUGUUGAGUUGAGAUGGAUCUUGUACAAAGAUAGGGCAAGAGCGUUAGAGAUUGCCUAUCAAGAGUGAUGAGGAGUCUAAAGGUGUCCAGAAGUGAUCUGAUGGAGGUUCUAAGCAAGGUCAAAGUCUAGGAGAGACUUAGAAGAGUGUUGAGGAGCAAAUGGGCGAGUGUGCAAAGAUAGGGCGAAUCUGUACGGCCAUGUACGGAUCUGUACGGACCGGUACGACCCGAGAGAUCACAACUCGCCCAUUUGAGAUGUUUUGAGAUUGUGCAAAGUCCGGGACAAGAUGUGCAAGCUUAGGGCGUGAUCAGAACAUGUCAAGGAGGCUUUGUGCAAUCUUAGGGUGUUGGGAGAAGGCCCUGGUCGUUUGGAAUCAAGAAGGCAUCAAGAAGAUGCUUUGUGGAGGCAAACAACCAAUGGGAGCUUCC
This 494-nucleotide long non-coding RNA is filed under the name Brassica napus (rape). RNAcentral describes it as "long non-coding RNA (BNAP_LNC008482)". The record is from RNAcentral. Lineage: Eukaryota; Viridiplantae; Streptophyta; Magnoliopsida; Brassicales; Brassicaceae.